This 503-nucleotide ribosomal RNA is filed under the name uncultured bacterium. RNAcentral describes it as "bacterial SSU rRNA". It matches the Rfam family "Bacterial small subunit ribosomal RNA", at positions 26 to 518 of the family's 1533-position model. The record is from RNAcentral.
AGGAUGAACGCUAGCUACAGGCUUAACACAUGCAAGUCGAGGGCAGCAUGGGAGUGCUGCAACUUCCGAUGGCGACCGGCGCACGGGUGAGUAACGCGUAUCCAACCUGGCCCUUAGUAGGGAACAGCCCGGCGAAAGUCGGAUUAAUGCCCUAUGUUUUCCAAUGAUGGCAUCUGACUUGGAACAAAGAUUCAUCGCUAAGGGAUGGGGAUGCGUCUGAUUAGCUUGUCGGCGGGGUAACGGCCCACCGAGGCGACGAUCAGUAGGGGUUCUGAGAGGAAGGUCCCCCACAUUGGUACUGAGACACGGACCAAACUCCUACGGGAGGCAGCAGUGAGGAAUAUUGGUCAAUGGGCGUAAGCCUGAACCAGCCAAGUAGCGUGCAAGGACCUGACUGCCCUAUGGGUUGUAAACUGCUUUUAUGCGGGAAUAAAGUCAGGUACGCGUACCUGUUUGUAUGUACCGCAUGAAUAAGGACCGGCUAAUUCCGUGCCAGCCGCGGC